This 450-nucleotide ribosomal RNA is filed under the name uncultured bacterium. Its description in RNAcentral is "partial 16S ribosomal RNA". It matches the Rfam family "Bacterial small subunit ribosomal RNA", at positions 354 to 796 of the family's 1533-position model. The record is from RNAcentral.
GUGGGGAAUUUUGGACAAUGGGGGCAACCCUGAUCCAGCCAUGCCGCGUGCGGGAAGAAGGCCUUCGGGUUGUAAACCGCUUUUGUCAGGGAAGAAAUCCUUUGGGUUAAUACCUCGGAGGGAUGACGGUACCUGAAGAAUAAGCACCGGCUAACUACGUGCCAGCAGCCGCGGUAAUACGUAGGGUGCGAGCGUUAAUCGGAAUUACUGGGCGUAAAGCGUGCGCAGGCGGUUUUGUAAGAUCGAUGUGAAAUCGCCGGGCUCAACCUGGGAAUUGCGCUUGUGACUGCAAGGCUGGAGUGCGGCAGAGGGGGAUGGAAUUCCGCGUGUAGCAGUGAAAUGCGUAGAUAUGCUGAGGAACACCGAUGGCGAAGGCAAUCCCCUGGGCCUGCACUGACGCUCAUGCACGAAAGCGUGGGGAGCAAACAGGAUUAGAUACCCGGGUAGUCC